Molecule: long non-coding RNA, 1303 nt
Filed under: Triticum aestivum (bread wheat)
Lineage: Eukaryota; Viridiplantae; Streptophyta; Magnoliopsida; Poales; Poaceae
Description: long non-coding RNA (TAES_LNC007555)
Source: RNAcentral
UCAUCUUCUCAAAUCUCUCUGUGGGCGGAGCGAAGUGAGAGCCAAGCCAGCCGAGCCGACCCCUCUCCUCUUCCCCUUCCUCGCAGCGGUUCGCGAUUUGCCCCUUCUCGCUCCAUCUCUCUUUCUCAUCCCGUGCUUCCACCGAUAUGCGCAGCCAACGGGAUUUAGCGCUAUGAGACAACUGCUCGGCGAAGUUCGUUCCCAUGUUGCCGGCGUGUUUAAUCGGGUGACUGCAUGCAGGGCCGGAUGUGAAGCCUCCAAAAUCGUUGGUGCCCCCCGUUCCACCUGAGUGAGCGCGUCCGCCGGAUCCCGUCCUGUCCUCCCCUCUCUCUCUCUCUCUCACAUUUCCUCGUCUCGUUCUAAUUCUAUGGAGUGCAUAUGCAUGCAGGCGGAUGUGAAGCCAAGUCGCUGGCACCCCGUUCUAGAACACCAGAUCCGGAGUGCCGCCGCCGGUUCCUGUCCCCAUCACGCCCGCGUCAACGACCGCCAAGUUGCUGGCACCCCGUUCCAGACCACCAAAUCUGGAGCGCCGCCGCCGGAUCUCGUCCCCAUCACACCUGCGUCAACGACCGCCGCGGAACCCUCCUCGGCUCCUCCUCCUCAAUGAUUCACGGCAAGAACCGGGACAGCGCCGUGCCCUUCCCCGUCUCCAACACUACAGUGCUCGCGUCGUCGGUGCUGUCGUAUUUCAUUAUCAUUCGAAUAUGUGUGGAUUUGACCCCUUCGUUGCCUUCCCAUCAUGUUGUGUUCAUUCUUUUCUGAAUCUGAUUCUCAUACCUGGUGCGAAUCUUCUAUAAAUCGUUGUCAGAAUUUGUUCCUUUGAUCCCGGUUAUAAUUCGUUGAAUCGCCCUCGCGGAUCCCGUUUGGGUGAGGAUUAUUGUAUGGUUUUUUUACUACACUACAUAUGUUGGUAAAGCAUUUACCUAAGUUAUGGAAAAUUCAUAAUUCAUCAGUUAUUUUAGAUAAUACUAAAAAACAAGAUAGAGUAAGAUACAGAAGUGUAAAAGAAAGUGGAUUCAUCAGAUGAUACAUGAGUCCCUAAUUCUGAAUCAAGAGAUUUGUUGUGGAAUUUGUCAAUUGAGUAAAGUAAUAAUAUUAAGAACAGAUCAUCUAACCCCAUUGAAUGAAAAAAUGAAAUUCGAUUUUCAAGGAAAUUUUUGAAUAAGAGAUAAAUAAACAAUUGAAUUUGAAAAAAAAACUUCUUUCUAUUUUGGAUAAUUUCUUUUUCAAUAGGACCCUCUUUUUGGAGUGAACGAUCGAAUAUUCCCCUAUUCCUUCUUAUUUUAACUGAUUGUAUUCCAUA